RNAcentral lists this ribosomal RNA (253 nucleotides) under uncultured bacterium. RNAcentral's name for it is "partial 16S ribosomal RNA". It matches the Rfam family "Bacterial small subunit ribosomal RNA", at positions 524 to 776 of the family's 1533-position model. The record is from RNAcentral.
UACAGAGGGUGCAAGCGUUGCUCGGAAUCAUUGGGCGUAAAGGGUAGGUAGGUGGUCUCAUUUGUCAGGGGUGAAAGCCUUGGGCUUAACUCAAGAAGUGCCCCUGAAACGGUGAGACUGGAGUCUUGGAGAGGGUCGUGGAAUUCCCGGUGUAGCGGUGAAAUGCGUAGAGAUCGGGAGGAACACCAGAGGCGAAAGCGGCGGCCUGGACAAGUACUGACACUCAACUACGAAAGCGUGGGGAGCAAACAGG